Molecule: ribosomal RNA, 114 nt
Filed under: uncultured bacterium
Lineage: Bacteria
Description: partial 16S ribosomal RNA
Rfam family: Bacterial small subunit ribosomal RNA
Source: RNAcentral
CGGUGAAUACGUUUCCGGACCUUGCACACACCGCCCGUCAAGCCAUGGAAGCUGGGUGUACCUAAAGUCGGUAACCGUAAGGAGCCGCCUAGGGUAAAACUAGUGACUGGGGCU